UUACGGCCAUAUCAUGUUGAAACACCGGUUUUCAUACGAUCACCGAAGUUAAGUAAAGUCGAUCCGAGUCAGUAGCGAGAUGGGUGAUCAUUUGGGAAUAUCA
Molecule: non-coding RNA, 103 nt
Organism: Acanthosepion pharaonis
Lineage: Eukaryota; Metazoa; Mollusca; Cephalopoda; Sepiida; Sepiidae
Source: the annotation of a GenBank genome assembly